This 80-nucleotide transfer RNA is filed under the name Thujopsis dolabrata. Its description in RNAcentral is "tRNA-Leu". It matches the Rfam family "tRNA". From Rfam's summary of the family: Transfer RNA (tRNA) molecules are approximately 80 nucleotides in length. Lineage: Eukaryota; Viridiplantae; Streptophyta; Pinopsida; Cupressales; Cupressaceae. The record is from RNAcentral.
GCCGCCAUGGUGAAAUUGGUAGACACGCUGCUCUUAGGCGGCAGCGCCAGAGCAUCUCGGUUCGAAUCCGAGUGGCGGCA